AGAGUUUGAUCCUGGCUCAGGACGAACGCUGGCGGCGUGCUUAACACAUGCAAGUCGAACGGUGAUCCCCAGCUUGCUGGGGUGAUCAGUGGCGAACGGGUGAGUAACACGUGAGCAACCUGCCCCCGACUCUGGGAUAACUCCGGGAAACCGGGGCUAAUACCGGAUAUGACAUCGCCUCGCAUGGGGUGGUGUGGAAAGUUCUUCGGUCGGGGAUGGGCUCGCGGCCUAUCAGCUUGUUGGUGGGGUGAUGGCCUACCAAGGCGACGACGGGUAGCCGGCCUGAGAGGGCGACCGGCCACACUGGGACUGAGACACGGCCCAGACUCCUACGGGAGGCAGCAGUGGGGAAUAUUGCGCAAUGGGCGAAAGCCUGACGCAGCGACGCCGCGUGAGGGAUGAAGGCCUUCGGGUUGUAAACCUCUUUCAGCAGGGAAGAAGCGAAAGUGACGGUACCUGCAGAAGAAGCACCGGCUAACUACGUGCCAGCAGCCGCGGUAAUACGUAGGGUGCAAGCGUUGUCCGGAAUUAUUGGGCGUAAAGAGCUCGUAGGCGGUUUGUCGCGUCUGCUGUGAAAACGCGGGGCUCAACUCCGCGCCUGCAGUGGGUACGGGCAGACUAGAGUGCAGUAGGGGAGACUGGAAUUCCUGGUGUAGCGGUGGAAUGCGCAGAUAUCAGGAGGAACACCGGUGGCGAAGGCGGGUCUCUGGGCUGCAACUGACGCUGAGGAGCGAAAGCGUGGGGAGCGAACAGGAUUAGAUACCCUAGUAGUCC
Molecule: ribosomal RNA, 774 nt
Filed under: uncultured bacterium
Lineage: Bacteria
Description: bacterial SSU rRNA
Rfam family: Bacterial small subunit ribosomal RNA
Source: RNAcentral